GAUGAACGCUGGCGGCGUGCUUAACACAUGCAAGUCGAACGGGAAUUACUCUAUUGAAACUUCGGUCGAUUUAAUUUAAUUCUAGUGGCGGACGGGCGAGUAACGCGUGGGUAACCUGCCUUAUACAGGGGGAUAACAGUCAGAAAUGGCUGCUAAUACCGCAUAAGCGCACAGAGCUGCAUGGCUCAGUGUGAAAAACUCCGGUGGUAUAAGAUGGACCCGCGUUGGAUUAGCUUGUUGGUGGGGUAACGGCCCACCAAGGCGACGAUCCAGAGCCGGCCUGAGAGGGUGAACGGCCACAUUGGGACUGAGACACGGCCCAGACUCCUACGGGAGGCAGCAGUGGGGAAUAUUGCACAAUGGGGGAAACCCUGAUGCAGCGACGCCGCGUGAAGGAAGAAGUAUCUCGGUAUGUAAACUUCUAUCAGCAGGGAAGAUAGUGACGGUACCUGACUAAGAAGCCCCGGCUAACUACGUGCCAGCCGCCGCAGUAA
This 494-nucleotide ribosomal RNA is filed under the name uncultured bacterium. RNAcentral's name for it is "partial 16S ribosomal RNA". It matches the Rfam family "Bacterial small subunit ribosomal RNA", at positions 28 to 523 of the family's 1533-position model. The record is from RNAcentral.